GGGGGGGGGGGGGGGGGGGGCGGGGGGGGGCGGGGCGGGCGGGCGGGGGGGGGGGCUGGCGCCCGCUGACGUUAGCGGCGGACGGGGGCGUGAGACGGGGGGCACCUACCUAUACGGCUGGGAUAGCUUCGGGACACCGGGUCUCAUCCCGGCUAAUCUGUAGCUUCGCAGGCCGCACUAGUGACAGCCGGUUCUGCUGUCCCUCCUAGAUGGACCCGCGGUGUAUGAGCUAGGUGGUGAGGUCCCGGCUCCCCAAGGCAACGAUACAUAGCCGACCUGAGAGGGUGAUCGGCCACACUGGGACUGAGACACGGCCCAGACUCCUACGGGAGGCAGCAGUAGGGAAUCGUCCGCAAUGGACGAAAGUCUGACGGAGCAAUGCCGCGUGAGUGAAGAAGGUUUUCGGAUCGUAAAACUCUGUUGUAAGGGAAGAACAAGUACGUUAGUAACUGAACGUACCUUGACGGUACCUUACCAGAAAGCCACGGCUAACUACGUG
RNAcentral lists this ribosomal RNA (499 nucleotides) under uncultured bacterium. Its description in RNAcentral is "partial 16S ribosomal RNA". It matches the Rfam family "Bacterial small subunit ribosomal RNA", at positions 35 to 507 of the family's 1533-position model. The record is from RNAcentral.